RNAcentral lists this long non-coding RNA (828 nucleotides) under Homo sapiens (human). Its description in RNAcentral is "HSALNT0336768". Lineage: Eukaryota; Metazoa; Chordata; Mammalia; Primates; Hominidae. The record is from RNAcentral.
CAUUAUCACAGAUCUCUUGUGGACAAGUCAAAAUUCUUCAAUUAAGGUUAUAUCUAGUUAAAGGAAUUUUUCUCUUUGGUCUACAUCCCCACCCUGAAUGUCCUUGCCUGUUAGUUCCUUGCAGGUGAAAGGUAAAAAACCUUUGCAACUUCAUGCUAUAAUUGUGCCUUUGAAUUUUCAGAGGAAAAGACAGUGAGAGAGCAAGAGCAGAUUGAGAAGCAGAAGAGUGAGUCGCAAAAAGAGAAAAUGACAGAAAUGGAGCACCCUGCCACAUGCAUCUUCAGCUUGGAAAAAAACCACAGGAUGAAGAGCAUACAAUUGAAGUAGAAAGACCACAGCUAUACAGAGGCUCAUGAAGGGUAAAGAGGAGAUUUUUGAAUGCUUCCACUUAUUGCUUCCAAUAAAUGAGAAUUCAACUUCUUAUAAGAGAUACCGUAUGCUUGAAAACUGAGAUCUGAGAAAAAUAUGACUACAACCUAUAAGUAAACGCCCAGCCAAACUCUAAAGCAAGAGUUCAGGUAAAAUAAGGACAUUUUUGGGUAUGUAAGCUAUAGAAAAUGUUACUACUCAUUGAUCAUCCUCUGAAAGACUUGCUUAUGUAAUUUAUCCAACAAAAAGAACAAAGGAACUCAAGAAAGAGGUAAAAAAUGAGAUCAAUGAAACAGAGUACUUAAUAUAUUGUGUAUUGUGAUUAUGUAGCAGAGUAUCUCUGUUUUAUAGGAAAUAUAAACUAAAGUAUUCAGAAAUGAUGGAACAAGAAGUCAGCAACUUUCUCUCAAAUUGUUCAGGAAAAGAUGCUUUGUAUUGUAUCUUCACCUUUUCUGUAAC